Molecule: transfer RNA, 74 nt
Filed under: Trichonephila inaurata madagascariensis
Lineage: Eukaryota; Metazoa; Arthropoda; Arachnida; Araneae; Nephilidae
Rfam family: tRNA
About the family: Transfer RNA (tRNA) molecules are approximately 80 nucleotides in length. Their secondary structure includes four short double-helical elements and three loops (D, anti-codon, and T loops).
Source: Rfam by way of RNAcentral
GCCUCCGUGGCGCAAUCGGCUAGCGCGUUCGGCUGUUAACCGAAAGGUUGAUGGUUCGAGCUUACCCGGGGGCG